AUGAACCCCUCCUCGGCCCCGGGUCCGGAUGGCCUACCCGUGACGUUCUUCAAGACGUUCUGGCCUACCAUCAAGCCGGAGGUCAUGGCCCUGUUUGAGGAAUUUUAUUCGGGCUCCAUGGACCUUGGGAGCCUCAAUUAUGGGAUUUUGACCCUCAUCCCCAAGGUCCCGGGCACUUCUGACAUCCGCCAGUUCCGCCCAAUCACAAUGAUUAAUGUGAUUUUCCGGAUCCUAGCCAAAGGGUAUGCCAAUAGGGUGACCCUCCUCGCUGACACGAUUACACAUCCGAACCAAUCCGCCUUCAUACAAGGCCGAUUUAUUCUGGAUGGGGUGUUAGUAUUUCACGAAGUCCUCCAUGAGGUUCGGCUGAAACGCCACGGCGCGGUCUUCCUAAAUCUAGACUUCCACAAAGCAUAUGACACGGUCCACUGGCCAUUCCUGCGGGAAGUGUUGCUUCGCAAGGGCUUCGACGACCGUUGGGUGACUCGCGUCAUGCAGCUUGUCUCCUGUGGCCGGACCGCGGUGAACAUCAACUGA
Molecule: ribosomal RNA, 537 nt
Filed under: Triticum aestivum (bread wheat)
Lineage: Eukaryota; Viridiplantae; Streptophyta; Magnoliopsida; Poales; Poaceae
Description: partial small subunit ribosomal RNA
Source: RNAcentral